CAAUAGCGUAUAUUUAAGUUGCUGCAGUUAAAAAGCUCGUAGUUGGAUUUCGGGUGGGAAUGGCCGGUCCGCCGUUUCGGUGUGCACUUGCUACGCCCACCUUGCUGCCGGGGACGUGCUCUUGAGUUCACGCUCGGACACGGAGUCGGCGAGGUUACUUUGAGUAAAUUAGAGUGUUCAAAGCAGGCCUACGCUCUGAAUACAUUAGCAUGGAAUAACACGAUAGGACUCUGGCCUAUCUUGUUGGUCUGUAGGACCGGAGUAAUGAUUAAGAGGGACAGUCGGGGGCAUUCGUAUUUCAUUGUCAGAGGUGAAAUUCUUGGAUUUAUGAAAGACGAACUACUGCGAAAGCAUUUGCCAAGGAUGUUUUCAUUAA
This 376-nucleotide ribosomal RNA is filed under the name uncultured eukaryote. RNAcentral describes it as "partial 18S ribosomal RNA". It matches the Rfam family "Eukaryotic small subunit ribosomal RNA", at positions 592 to 976 of the family's 1831-position model. The record is from RNAcentral.